RNAcentral lists this ribosomal RNA (1275 nucleotides) under Agromyces neolithicus. RNAcentral describes it as "bacterial SSU rRNA". It matches the Rfam family "Bacterial small subunit ribosomal RNA", at positions 107 to 1387 of the family's 1533-position model. The record is from RNAcentral. Lineage: Bacteria; Bacillati; Actinomycetota; Actinomycetes; Micrococcales; Microbacteriaceae.
UGAGUAACACGUGAGUAACCUGCCCUGGACUCUGGGAUAACCCCGAGAAAUCGGAGCUAAUACCGGAUAGGACCUUUCCCUGCAUGGGGUUUGGUGGAAAGUUUUUCGGUUUGGGAUGGACUCGCGGCCUAUCAGCUUGUUGGUGAGGUAAUGGCUCACCAAGGCGUCGACGGGUAGCCGGCCUGAGAGGGUGACCGGCCACACUGGGACUGAGACACGGCCCAGACUCCUACGGGAGGCAGCAGUGGGGAAUAUUGCACAAUGGGCGCAAGCCUGAUGCAGCAACGCCGCGUGCGGGAUGACGGCCUUCGGGUUGUAAACCGCUUUUAGUAAGGAAGAAGGGGAGCUUGCUCCUUGACGGUACUUGCAGAAAAAGGACCGGCUAACUACGUGCCAGCAGCCGCGGUAAUACGUAGGGUCCGAGCGUUGUCCGGAAUUAUUGGGCGUAAAGAGCUCGUAGGCGGUUUGUCGCGUCUGCUGUGAAAUCCCGAGGCUCAACCUCGGGCCUGCAGUGGGUACGGGCAGACUUGAGUGGUGUAGGGGAGACUGGAAUUCCUGGUGUAGCGGUGGAAUGCGCAGAUAUCAGGAGGAACACCGAUGGCGAAGGCAGGUCUCUGGGCACUUACUGACGCUGAGGAGCGAAAGCGUGGGGAGCGAACAGGAUUAGAUACCCUGGUAGUCCACGCCGUAAACGUUGGGCGCUAGAUGUGGGGACCUUUCCACGGUUUCCGUGUCGUAGCUAACGCAUUAAGCGCCCCGCCUGGGGAGUACGGCCGCAAGGCUAAAACUCAAAGGAAUUGACGGGGGCCCGCACAAGCGGCGGAGCAUGCGGAUUAAUUCGAUGCAACGCGAAGAACCUUACCAAGGCUUGACAUGACCGAGAACGCCCUAGAAAUAGGGAACUCUUUGGACACUCGGUUACAGGUGGUGCAUGGUUGUCGUCAGCUCGUGUCGUGAGAUGUUGGGUUAAGUCCCGCAACGAGCGCAACCCUCGUCGCAUGUUGCCAGCACGUUAUGGUGGGGACUCAUGUGAGACUGCCGGGGUCAACUCGGAGGAAGGUGGGGAUGACGUCAAAUCAUCAUGCCCCUUAUGUCUUGGGCUUCACGCAUGCUACAAUGGCCGGUACAAAGGGCUGCGAUGUCGUAAGGCGGAGCGAAUCCCAAAAAGCCGGUCUCAGUUCGGAUUGAGGUCUGCAACUCGACCUCAUGAAGUCGGAGUCGCUAGUAAUCGCAGAUCAGCAACGCUGCGGUGAAUACGUUCCCGGGCCUUGUACA